This 424-nucleotide ribosomal RNA is filed under the name uncultured bacterium. Its description in RNAcentral is "bacterial SSU rRNA". It matches the Rfam family "Bacterial small subunit ribosomal RNA", at positions 917 to 1344 of the family's 1533-position model. The record is from RNAcentral.
GGGCCCGCACAAGCGGUGGAGCAUGUGGUUUAAUUCGAUGAUACGCGAGGAACCUUACCAGGGCUUAAAUGUAGGUUGCAUGAUCUAGAGAUAGAUCUUUCUUCGGACUACCUACAAGGUGCUGCAUGGUUGUCGUCAGCUCGUGCCGUGAGGUGUCAGGUUAAGUCCUAUAACGAGCGCAACCCCUACCGUUAGUUGCCAGCGAUUCAAGUCGGGGACUCUAACGGGACUGCCGGUGCAAACCGUGAGGAAGGUGGGGACGACGUCAAAUCAUCACGGCCCUUACGUCCUGGGCUACACACGUGCUACAAUGGUCGGUACAGAGGGAAGCUACCCCGUAAGGGGAUGCGGAUCUAUAAAACCGAUCUCAGUUCGGAUCGGGGUCUGCAACUCGACCCCGUGAAGCUGGAAUCGCUAGUAAUCG